This is a long non-coding RNA of Sciurus carolinensis (gray squirrel), 355 nucleotides long. RefSeq lists it as uncharacterized. The transcript has 4 exons. NCBI's taxonomy places the organism in Eukaryota, Metazoa, Chordata, Mammalia, Rodentia, Sciuridae. The record is from RefSeq and is a predicted model, not a curated record.
CCUCACACAUGCUAGGCCAGUGUCUCCCACUGAGCCCCAGCCCAGCCCCCGGCCCAGCAUCAAAGCUGUCUCCACACCAAGCUGUCUUCUUCAAGGUUCCAGAGCUCUUCCCUCCCAGAGGACCCAGAAGACCCGCCAAGGUUGGCCGUGGAUGGGGUACUUCAGAUGCGGCUCCUCUGGUAAACUGGUUCUGGCCUCUUCCAAGUGCUCUGUUCCACCAGCAAAUGCCUCCUGAAGCUGUGUCCGUGUUGACAGUUCAGUGGGAUCUUCCCAUGUCCCUGACCACUGGCCAGAGGGUCUAACUAAGUUGCUGAAGCUGGACUUGAACUUGCGAUUGUCCUGCCUCAGCCCCCAG